This 468-nucleotide ribosomal RNA is filed under the name uncultured bacterium. RNAcentral describes it as "partial 16S ribosomal RNA". It matches the Rfam family "Bacterial small subunit ribosomal RNA", at positions 28 to 507 of the family's 1533-position model. The record is from RNAcentral.
GACGAACGCUGGCGGCGGGCUUAACACAUGCAAGUCGAACGGCAAGGCCCUGCUUUUGUGGGGUGCUCGAGGGGCGAACGGGUGAGUAACAGGUGAGUAACCUGCCCUUGACUUUGGGAUAACUUCAGGAAACUGGGGCUAAUACCGGAUAGGAGCUCCUGCUGCAUGGUGGGGGUUGGAAAGUUGCGGCGGGUGGGGCUGGACUCGCGGCUGAUCAGCUUGUUGGUGGGGUAGUGGCUUACCAAGGCUUGGACGGGUAGCCGGCCUGGGAGGGUGACCGGCCUCCUUACGCCUACGGUACGCCCCAGUGUCCAACGGUGGGCAGCAGUGGCGAGUCUUACCCAAUGGGCCCACGCCGGAUGCAGCAGCCUCCGGGGCGGGAUGACGGCCUUCGGGUUGUGAACCGCAUUCGCCUGUGACGAAGCGUGACUGACGGUAAUGGGUAAAGAAGCACCGGCUAACUACGUG